CUCUCAAAUUUAUCAUGAAAAUGGCCGUAGAUGAUCCUUUCCACCGACCCGCACGAUACUAUAUAGUUCUCCGAAUCAUUAAGUCGAUUUGAAGUUUUGGAGCUAAAAUGGCCGCGGGAAACCUGAUGAGAAGAACCGAGAAGAAUGGCUACGGCUGUCGGAAACCGAACGAACGAAUUCCACUGGUUGAUUUUGUUAUUGAGAUUCCGAUGUCAUCUGAAUACGAAUCAUGAAAAAUUAUUCACCAUCAACGAAACGAAUCAUUGUAUUGAACAAGACGGACCUAGCGGAUCGGUUACAGACAGAGGACUGGACAAGAUAUUUUGAAGACCAUGCAUCUCUUAUGGCGUUAGGAGAAUAUUAGGGAGUUCUUGAACAUUCUUCAAGCUAGAGUUAGACAAUUGAAGAAGAGCGGUCAUUCUAGUCAUGCCACAACAAUGGUGCUUCUUUGAAAUCCAAAUGUCACUAAGUCGGCCCUUGCAACUCUCUGCAUCAAAUUGGGACAAUUAGUGCUUAUCGCUCACCUCACAGAAAAGGGUAGUUGAAGUAUACUAUGGUGAGCCACAGCCUUGUGAAACAAAAAAUUAUCAGCAGCUUGAAGAUAGCCAGUCAUCCCAAUAUUUAUGUGUUAGAUACCCAGGGAUUUUGCAAUCCAAGAUUCUCAACCUCGAGUGGCUUAGAGACAUCUUAGUCGGGGAAAAAUGUAAUUGUACAGUGCCUCUUAACUACUGUCAAGUCAAGUGUGAUAAAUAUAAGAAGCUGUGACAGCUCGUUGGAGUGUUCAACUUGUUCAAAUUCAGAGAAACUAAAAAGGGGGUAUCCAUCUGAUCACACGCAGGUAUAAGCACUAUUUGGUUUUUUUUUUUUUUUUUUUUUUUUUUUUUUUU
Molecule: non-coding RNA, 887 nt
Organism: Cucurbita pepo subsp. pepo (vegetable marrow)
Lineage: Eukaryota; Viridiplantae; Streptophyta; Magnoliopsida; Cucurbitales; Cucurbitaceae
Source: RefSeq, a predicted model, not a curated record